RNAcentral lists this transfer RNA (33 nucleotides) under Natrix natrix (European grass snake). Its description in RNAcentral is "partial transfer RNA-Leu". Lineage: Eukaryota; Metazoa; Chordata; Lepidosauria; Squamata; Natricidae. The record is from RNAcentral.
UCUACCAAAGGAUAAUAGUAUUCCACUGGUCUU